UUUUUUUUUUUUUUUUUUUUUUGAGAUGGAGUCAAGCUCUGUCGCCCAGGCUGGAGUGCAGUGGCACGAUCUCGGCUCACUGCAACCUCCGCCUCCCAGGUUCAAGCGAUUUUCCUGCCUCAGCCUCCUGAGUAACUGGGAUUACAGGUGCCCGCCACCACGUCCGGCUAAUUUUUUUUCUAUUUUUAGUAGAGACGGGGGUUUCACUGUUUUGGCCAGGCUGGUCUCGAGCUCCUGAUCUCGUGAUCCGCCCGCUUCGGCCUUACAAAGUGCUGGGAUUACAAGCGUGAGCCACCGUGCCCGGCUCAUCCUGCUUUUGGUUUCAGGUCUCCAUGCCAGUGAAAUGUCACCUCAACUCCACCGUCCCUGGUGUCAGGCAAGCCCGAGGGACCCAAUUCUGCCUUUCUUCUGGAUUUUCCUAACCUGUUAAGAGUCUUGAAAGUCCUUAAACCACGGGAGACUAUCUGGCACAUGACACGGGAUGAGACUUGGUGGGGGUCCCACGGGGGACAGGUCCUUCCAGCGGUUCCUCUGCACCCAGCGCUGCACGGGCAUGGGGCGUGGGUAAUCAGCCUCCCGAAAGCCACGCGAGUCACGGUCCUGCCUGCGAAGAACUCCCAGGGCGACCUUGGGGCUGAGGAGUGGGCCUGCUUCGGCCUUCUGCUCUUCUGUUGUGUGGUGACCCUCACCAGAGGACAGCUUCAUGCUCUUGGACUUCCCAGCCUCAAGAACUGUAAGAAAUAAAUUUCUUUAUAAGUUGCCCAGUCUGUGGUAUUUGGUUAUAGCAGCAGGAAAUGGAGUGAGACAAUGCCCUUUACCAGAUCAAAUUCCCUUUCAUUUCUACUUUGCUGUUUUUACCAUUAAUAGAAUGUGAAAUAUAACAAUAAACAAUAACGUUUGACACUUUGAAACGUAUCAAAUGUUAUUUUUUGGCGUCUAUUGAGAUGAUUAUAUUGUUUUUCUCUUUUAUGCUAUUCAAAUGUUUAAUCAAAUUGACUUUCAAAUGUUGCAUCUAACUUGAAUUCCUGGGUCAAAUUUCACUUGUCAUGAUGUAUUAUCUUUUUUACAUAUUGCUAGGUUUGAUUUGCUAAUACUUUCUUAAGCAUAUUUUUGUGUCUGUAUUCAUGAGAGAUAUUGAUUUAUCAUUGUCUUUUUCUGUAAUGUCUUUCUAAGUUUGGGUAUACUCAUUAUUCUGGCUUUAUAAAAUAAACUCAGUUUCCUGAGAGUCUUAUAAGAUUA
RNAcentral lists this long non-coding RNA (1239 nucleotides) under Homo sapiens (human). RNAcentral's name for it is "HSALNT0345682". The record is from RNAcentral. Lineage: Eukaryota; Metazoa; Chordata; Mammalia; Primates; Hominidae.